AUUUUUCAAAGAACAUGCUGAGCUGGAAGAGGGCUUUUAUUGAGUGCUGUUUGAGGUGUGUUAACUUUGCGCUUUCAAUCACAAAGACGAAGACGUAAAAUGAGCGUUUAGAAAACAUCAUCAGUAAAAAUAUAAAGGAAAUCAAUUUUUCUGCACAGGCAAAUAAAUGUAGAGCGGAAGAUAAUCCAUAAACAAGGCAUGUGAAUUGGUACAGAUUACCUUUCCACCUAAAUCUCUCUCUAAUCAUCAGGCAGAAAAAUGCGCUUUGAUGAGUAGAAUUGAAUUGAAAUUUUUGCUCACCGUUGUUUACUGACCGAGGCGUUUCUCGCAACAAGACGUACACAAAUGGCCAACAUAUGCACGCAUAUGCUCUAUUCAUACAACUUUACACGACCAAGGCAGAUGACGUGGUAGAAAAUUUAAUCUUAUGGUAUAAUAUGGCAAACAAAUUUGAUUGCAAGAAAAACAUGAUCAAAGCAAGAAAAACAUGAUCAAUCACGAAAACAGAAAUGCUUGCAUGCUUUGAAAGACUGCUGGAGCACUGUACAGC
Xenia sp. Carnegie-2017 is the source of this 550-nucleotide long non-coding RNA. RefSeq lists it as uncharacterized. Lineage: Eukaryota; Metazoa; Cnidaria; Anthozoa; Malacalcyonacea; Xeniidae. The transcript is spliced from 2 exons. The record is from RefSeq and is a predicted model, not a curated record.